Molecule: long non-coding RNA, 418 nt
Organism: Sycon ciliatum
Lineage: Eukaryota; Metazoa; Porifera; Calcarea; Leucosolenida; Sycettidae
Exons: 3
Source: RefSeq, a predicted model, not a curated record
CACUGCACCUACAAUAACGAAUGGAGUGGUUACUGGUAAUGCACCAGUAUUCAAUGUAACCUGCAAUGCUAACUUCGGCAUAGUGGGUAAUCCUACCGUGACAUGUACAAGUGUAUCCACGACAACAACAGUCCCGACCUGUGAACCUAUUGUCUGCAAGACCUUGCCUACAAUCAACAAUGGCGGAGCAACAGCCAGCAGCAUGACAAAGUAUGGUGUACUACACGUCCACUGCAACACCGGCUAUGUGCUGUUGGGAAUGGCAACUUCGAAAUGCCUGUCUACUGGCUCCUGGGAAACGCCAAUUGCUAGCUGUCGCGAGAUCACAUGCAAUGUUGCACUGACAGCACCAGCAAAUGGUGCUGUCACUGCCCGUACUGAUACAUUUUCAUCAGUGCGUCAGUACAGUUGCAAUGAA